UGAGGUGAGAAAUAAGCCCAUGUUGGCAUCCUUGGCAUCCUUCAGGAAGACCUGAAGUGAGAGCCUUGGAAAGUCAGGAUCCAGCAGGAGGACAUUUUGCUCUCUUGAGUAUUUGCUGUCAAGUAUCCAGAUGCAGAAGUCUUACUUCCUGCUUUUCUAUGACAUCAUCCUUCAGAAGGCGGGGCAUAGGCAAGAACAUGAUAAAGGUGUCAAUAUAGUUAUUGGGAAUUGAAGAUGAUUUACAAUUCUAAAUUUUCUGACAUUCUAGGAAUAGUGAAGACCGAAGGGCUCUUAGAUGUCAAUAAUCUUUUAGUACUCACCACCACCACCCUGGCCACAAAAGAGUAAAUCAGAGAAAAUUGUAGGGCCAUUGUUUACAGGCAUAGCAAUGGCCUAGGCGCUGCCACAGAAGAGUUCUGCUUGAUAGCACUGUACCAUCUUGGCUCCUGACCGGAACACACUCAGAUCCUUCUUGCCUAUGUGAGGUGAUCACAGAGAAUGGGACACAAGUGAACGAAGGAGCCCAAAACUGGCAGAUACACAAGCAAGAGAUGUUGAGCAGCAGCCAUGCCAAAGAGAAAGCUGCACAGAACCAGAGACAGAGAAGGAGAGAGAUUUACUGUAUCAGA
This is a long non-coding RNA of Gorilla gorilla gorilla (western lowland gorilla), 629 nucleotides long. RefSeq lists it as uncharacterized. The record is from RefSeq and is a predicted model, not a curated record. NCBI's taxonomy places the organism in Eukaryota, Metazoa, Chordata, Mammalia, Primates, Hominidae. The transcript has 3 exons.